RNAcentral lists this ribosomal RNA (301 nucleotides) under uncultured bacterium. Its description in RNAcentral is "partial 16S ribosomal RNA". It matches the Rfam family "Bacterial small subunit ribosomal RNA", at positions 509 to 809 of the family's 1533-position model. The record is from RNAcentral.
CAGCAGCCGCGGUAAUACGAAGGGUGCAAGCGUUAAUCGGAAUUACUGGGCGUAAAGCGUGCGUAGGCGGUUUGUUAAGUCUGUUGUGAAAUCCCCGGGCUCAACCUGGGAAUGGCAAUGGAUACUGGCAAGCUAGAGUGUGUCAGAGGAUGGUGGAAUUCCCGGUGUAGCGGUGAAAUGCGUAGAGAUCGGGAGGAACAUCAGUGGCGAAGGCGGCCAUCUGGGACAACACUGACGCUGAGGCACGAAAGCGUGGGGAGCAAACAGGAUUAGAUACCCCCGUAGUCCCUGUCUCUUAUAA